RNAcentral lists this ribosomal RNA (250 nucleotides) under uncultured prokaryote. Its description in RNAcentral is "partial 16S ribosomal RNA". It matches the Rfam family "Bacterial small subunit ribosomal RNA", at positions 524 to 773 of the family's 1533-position model. The record is from RNAcentral.
UACGGAGGGUGCAAGCGUUGUCCGGAAUCAUUGGGCGUAAAGAGUUCGUAGGCGGUUUGUUAAGUUUGGUGUUAAAUCCCGAGGCUCAACCUCGGCACGGCACUGGAUACUGGCAGACUAGAAUGCGGUAGAGGUAAAGGGAAUUCCUGGUGUAGCGGUGAAAUGCGUAGAUAUCAGGAGGAACAUCGGUGGCGUAAGCGCUUUACUGGGCCGUUAUUGACGCUGAGGAACGAAAGCCAGGGUAGCGAAU